Molecule: ribosomal RNA, 467 nt
Filed under: uncultured bacterium
Lineage: Bacteria
Description: bacterial SSU rRNA
Rfam family: Bacterial small subunit ribosomal RNA
Source: RNAcentral
GACAACGCUGGCGGCGCGCUUAACACAUGCAAGUCGUGCGGUACCGAUGGCAAGUCUUCUUGACGAGCCUUCGGUAUAGCGGCGGACGGGUGAGCAACACGUGAGUAGCUGUCCUAGGGAGGGGGAUAACGCCUGGAAACGGGUGCUAAAACCCCAUAAGCCUCGGAAAGAGGUAAAAGUGCAUCACUGCAGUCCUAGGGUGUGCUCGCGGCCUAUCAGCUAGUUGGUGAGGUAAGGGCUCACCAAGGCCAAGACGGGUAGCCGGCCUGAGAGGGUGUACGGCCACACUGGAAUUGAGAUACGGUCCAGACUCCUACGGGAGGCAGCAGUGGGGAAUUUUGGGCAAUGGGCGAAAGCCUGACCCAGCGACGCCGCGUUGGGGAUGAAGUCCUUCGGGGCGUAAACCCAUGUUGUAGGGGAAGAAGAAAGUGACGGUACCCUACGAGAAAGCCCCGGCCAACUACGUG